RNAcentral lists this ribosomal RNA (370 nucleotides) under uncultured organism. Its description in RNAcentral is "bacterial SSU rRNA". It matches the Rfam family "Bacterial small subunit ribosomal RNA", at positions 526 to 896 of the family's 1533-position model. The record is from RNAcentral.
CGAAGGGGGCUAGCGUUGUUCGGAAUUACUGGGCGUAAAGCGCACGCAGGCGGUUCGAUUAGUCAGAAGUGAGAGCCCCGGGCUCAACCUGGGAACUGCUUUUGAUACUGUCGAGCUUGAAUCACGGAGAGGGUAGUGGAAUUCCGAGUGUAGAGGUGAAAUUCGUAGAUAUUCGGAAGAACACCAGUGGCGAAGGCGACUACCUGGCCGUCGAUUGACGCUCAUGUGCGAAAGCGUGGGGAGCAAACAGGAUUAGAUACCCUGGUAGUCCACGCCGUAAACGAUGGGUGCUAGUUGUUGGGGUACAUGUACCUCAGUGACGCAGCUAACGCGUUAAGCACCCCGCCUGGGGAGUACGGCCGCAAGGUUA